UGCCUAGCAACUCCUAUCCCUACCUUCUCGUGGUACUGGUCGAGGUACGAGUAACCUCAGGGAAGGUCGGGUAACCAACCCCGGUGGGAACUCUGGUCGUAUGCUGACAGAUAAGG
RNAcentral lists this ribozyme (116 nucleotides) under Aedes aegypti (yellow fever mosquito). Its description in RNAcentral is "drz-agam-1 ribozyme". It matches the Rfam family "drz-agam-1 ribozyme". Lineage: Eukaryota; Metazoa; Arthropoda; Insecta; Diptera; Culicidae. The record is from Rfam by way of RNAcentral.